GUACUCAUCUGAAUACUACAUAUACUAAAAUUGGAAAUGAUACAGAGGUUAGGCUGGUCCCUGUACAAGGAUGAUAUGAAAAUUCAUGAAGUGUUUCGUUUUUAA
Molecule: small nuclear RNA, 105 nt
Organism: Erinaceus europaeus (western European hedgehog)
Lineage: Eukaryota; Metazoa; Chordata; Mammalia; Eulipotyphla; Erinaceidae
Source: RefSeq, a predicted model, not a curated record